This is a long non-coding RNA of Corapipo altera (White-ruffed manakin), 712 nucleotides long. RefSeq lists it as uncharacterized. NCBI's taxonomy places the organism in Eukaryota, Metazoa, Chordata, Aves, Passeriformes, Pipridae. The record is from RefSeq and is a predicted model, not a curated record. The transcript has 3 exons.
GUCUAGGAUUUGAGAGCCCUGAAGAUGCUUCUUUUGUGGACAAGGGCACUACUGAAAGAGUGAGAGCUGCUGACGUUGCUGGUGCAAAGGGACAGCCCUGCACUGCCGCUCUGAGGGGCUCCUGGCAGGGCUGUGGGCACAGCCCCAGGGCAGCUCAGCCUUGAGUCACACAACUGGCCACGGAACCUCUGGUGCUUCCUCAGGGUUUUGCUCAGGUGCAGCUGCACAACCUCCUGCAGCAGCUCCUUCGCUGAGGGCAGCAGUGGUACCUCCUGAGCUGAUGCUGUUUGAGUUCCCCAUAAUGCUUCUCCUUGCCUGUUUCCUUUGAGUGGAACCUUCAUCCUGUGGCCGUUAAUGGGAAGCUUACAGAGAAGAAACCAUGUUUUGGACACGCUGAGCCUCUUUCUUCAGAGGUUCACCAGAACAGCUGCAGCACAGUGAGACUGUACUUGACCCACCCACUUGAUCACCCUGGGAUUUGGAGUCAGAUUUCUGUUAGUGACAUCAGGCUCCACAUCAUAAAACCAGAGAAAGUGACUGCACAGAAUCAUCUGAGCCUUGAAAUUUUAUUACCUUGUUUGCAUCAACCAGUUAUUCCUUUCAGCACCAAUAGAAGACAAAAACCCCUCCAUAUUGUUUAAAAUACCUUGUUUUUAUCAGGUCUGCGAUUGUGGUUUUCUUGCAGAUAAAGAAACCAAUGAAAAUAUUUAAA